This 696-nucleotide ribosomal RNA is filed under the name uncultured Escherichia sp. Its description in RNAcentral is "bacterial SSU rRNA". It matches the Rfam family "Bacterial small subunit ribosomal RNA", at positions 84 to 776 of the family's 1533-position model. The record is from RNAcentral. Lineage: Bacteria; Pseudomonadati; Pseudomonadota; Gammaproteobacteria; Enterobacterales; Enterobacteriaceae.
CUUGCUGACGAGUGGCGGACGGGUGAGUAAUGUCUGGGAAACUGCCUGAUGGAGGGGGAUAACUACUGGAAACGGUAGCUAAUACCGCAUAACGUCGCAAGACCAAAGAGGGGGACCUUCGGGCCUCUUGCCAUCGGAUGUGCCCAGAUGGGAUUAGCUAGUAGGUGGGGUAACGGCUCACCUAGGCGACGAUCCCUAGCUGGUCUGAGAGGAUGACCAGCCACACUGGAACUGAGACACGGUCCAGACUCCUACGGGAGGCAGCAGUGGGGAAUAUUGCACAAUGGGCGCAAGCCUGAUGCAGCCAUGCCGCGUGUAUGAAGAAGGCCUUCGGGUUGUAAAGUACUUUCAGCGGGGAGGAAGGGAGUAAAGUUAAUACCUUUGCUCAUUGACGUUACCCGCAGAAGAAGCACCGGCUAACUCCGUGCCAGCAGCCGCGGUAAUACGGAGGGUGCAAGCGUUAAUCGGAAUUACUGGGCGUAAAGCGCACGCAGGCGGUUUGUUAAGUCAGAUGUGAAAUCCCCGGGCUCAACCUGGGAACUGCAUCUGAUACUGGCAAGCUUGAGUCUCGUAGAGGGGGGUAGAAUUCCAGGUGUAGCGGUGAAAUGCGUAGAGAUCUGGAGGAAUACCGGUGGCGAAGGCGGCCCCCUGGACGAAGACUGACGCUCAGGUGCGAAAGCGUGGGGAGCAAACAGG